Molecule: ribosomal RNA, 497 nt
Filed under: uncultured bacterium
Lineage: Bacteria
Description: partial 16S ribosomal RNA
Rfam family: Bacterial small subunit ribosomal RNA
Source: RNAcentral
GAUGAACGCUGGCGGCGUGCCUAAUACAUGCAAGUCGAGCGAACAGACGAGGAGCUUGCUCCUCUGACGUUAGCGGCGGACGGGUGAGACACACGUGUAUAACCUACCUAUAUGACUGGGAUAACUUCGGGAAACCGGAGCUAAUACCGGAUAAUAUAUUGAACCGCAGGGUUCAAUAGCGAAAGACGGUUUUGCUGUCACUUAUAGAUGGAUCCGCGCCGUAUUAGCUAGUUGGUAAGGUAACGGCUUACCAAGGCGACGAUGCGUAGCCGACCUGAGAGAGUGAUCGGCCACCCUGGAGCUGAGACACGGUCCAGACUCCUACGGGAGGCAGCAGUAGGGAAUCUUCCGCAAUGGGCGAAAGCUUGACGGAGCAACGCCGCGUGAGUGAUGAAGGUCUUCGGAUCGUAAAACUCUGUUAUUAGGGAAGAACAAAUGUGUAAGUAACUAUGCACGGCUUGACGGUACCGAAUCAGAAAGCCACGGCUAACUACGUG